Molecule: transfer RNA, 71 nt
Filed under: Cryptocercus matilei
Lineage: Eukaryota; Metazoa; Arthropoda; Insecta; Blattodea; Cryptocercidae
Description: tRNA-Tyr
Source: RNAcentral
AGUAGAAUGGCUGAGGUAAUAAUAAGGCUGUAGAUUGUAAAUCUAUUUAGGGGAUGGUUUCCCUUCUACUA